GGGUUGUGAGGUUAAGCGACUAAGCGUACACGGUGGAUGCCCUGGCAGUCAGAGGCGAUGAAGGACGUGCUAAUCUGCGAAAAGCGUCGGUAAGGUGAUAUGAACCGUUAUAACCGGCGAUGUCCGAAUGGGGAAACCCAGUGCAAUUCGUUGCACUAUCGUUAACUGAAUACAUAGGUUAACGAGGCGAACCGGGGGAACUGAAACAUCUAAGUACCCCGAGGAAAAGAAAUCAACCGAGAUUCCCCCAGUAGCGGCGAGCGAACGGGGAGCAGCCCAGAGUCUGAAUCAGCUUGUGUGUUAGUGGAACGGUCUGGAAAGUCCGACGGUACAGGGUGAUAGUCCCGUACACCAAAAUGCACAGGCUGUGAACUCGAAGAGUAGGGCGGGACACGUGGUAUCCUGUCUGAAUAUGGGGGGACCAUCCUCCAAGGCUAAAUACUCCUGACUGACCGAUAGUGAACCAGUACCGUGAGGGAAAGGCGAAAAGAACCCCGGCGAGGGGAGUGAAAAAGAACCUGAAACCGUGUACGUACAAGCAGUGGGAGCACCUUCGGGUGUGACUGCGUACCUUUUGUAUAAUGGGUCAGCGACUUAUAUUCUGUAGCAAGGUUAACCGUAUAGGGGAGCCGCAGGGAAACCGAGUCUUAACUGGGCGUUAAGUUGCAGGGUAUAGACCCGAAACCCGGUGAUCUAGCCAUGGGCAGGUUGAAGGUUGGGUAACACUAACUGGAGGACCGAACCGACUAAUGUUGAAAAAUUAGCGGAUGACUUGUGGCUGGGGGUGAAAGGCCAAUCAAACCGGGAGAUAGCUGGUUCUCCCCGAAAGCUAUUUAGGUAGCGCCUCGUGAAUUCAUCUUCGGGGGUAGAGCACUGUUUCGGCUAGGGGGUCAUCCCGACUUACCAACCCGAUGCAAACUACGAAUACCGAAGAAUGUUAUCACGGGAGACACACGGCGGGUGCUAACGUCCGUCGUGAAGAGGGAAACAACCCAGACCGCCAGCUAAGGUCCCAAAGUCAUGGUUAAGUGGGAAACGAUGUGGGAAGGCACAGACAGCCAGGAUGUUGGCUUAGAAGCAGCCAUCAUUUAAAGAAAGCGUAAUAGCUCACUGGUCGAGUCGGCCUGCGCGGAAGAUGUAACGGGGCUAAACCAUGCACCGAAGCUGCGGCAGCGACACUAUGUGUUGUUGGGUAGGGGAGCGUUCUGUAAGCCUGCGAAGGUGUGCNNNNNNNNNNNNNNNNNNNNNNNNNNNNNNNNNNNNNNNNNNNNNNNNNNNNNNNNNNNNNNNNNNNNNNNNNNNNNNNNNNNNNNNNNNNNNNNNCAAAUCGUACCCCAAACCGACACAGGUGGUCAGGUAGAGAAUACCAAGGCGCUUGAGAGAACUCGGGUGAAGGAACUAGGCAAAAUGGUGCCGUAACUUCGGGAGAAGGCACGCUGGUGUGUAGGUGAAGUCCCUGCGGAUGGAGCUGAGACCAGUCGAAGAUACCAGCUGGCUGCAACUGUUUAUUAAAAACACAGCACUGUGCAAACACGAAAGUGGACGUAUACGGUGUGACGCCUGCCCGGUGCCGGAAGGUUAAUUGAUGGGGUUAUCCGUAAGGAGAAGCUCUUGAUCGAAGCCCCGGUAAACGGCGGCCGUAACUAUAACGGUCCUAAGGUAGCGAAAUUCCUUGUCGGGUAAGUUCCGACCUGCACGAAUGGCGUAAUGAUGGCCAGGCUGUCUCCACCCGAGACUCAGUGAAAUUGAACUCGCUGUGAAGAUGCAGUGUACCCGCGGCAAGACGGAAAGACCCCGUGAACCUUUACUAUAGCUUGACACUGAACAUUGAGCCUUGAUGUGUAGGAUAGGUGGGAGGCUUUGAAGCGUGGACGCCAGUCUGCGUGGAGCCAACCUUGAAAUACCACCCUUUAAUGUUUGAUGUUCUAACGUUGGCCCCUGACCGGGGUUGCGGACAGUGUCUGGUGGGUAGUUUGACUGGGGCGGUCUCCUCCCAAAGCGUAACGGAGGAGCACGAAGGUUAGCUAAUCCUGGUCGGACAUCAGGAGGUUAGUGCAAUGGCAUAAGCUAGCUUGACUGCGAGCGUGACGGCGCGAGCAGGUGCGAAAGCAGGUCAUAGUGAUCCGGUGGUUCUGAAUGGAAGGGCCAUCGCUCAACGGAUAAAAGGUACUCCGGGGAUAACAGGCUGAUACCGCCCAAGAGUUCAUAUCGACGGCGGUGUUUGGCACCUCGAUGUCGGCUCAUCACAUCCUGGGGCUGAAGUAGGUCCCAAGGGUAUGGCUGUUCGCCAUUUAAAGUGGUACGCGAGCUGGGUUUAGAACGUCGUGAGACAGUUCGGUCCCUAUCUGCCGUGGGCGCUGGAGAAUUGAGGGGGGCUGCUCCUAGUACGAGAGGACCGGAGUGGACGCAUCACUGGUGUUCGGGUUGUCAUGCCAAUGGCACUGCCCGGUAGCUAAAUGCGGAAGAGAUAAGUGCUGAAAGCAUCUAAGCACGAAACUUGCCCCGAGAUGAGUUCUCCCUGAGACUUUAAGUCUCCUGAAGGAACGUUGAAGACGACGACGUUGAUAGGCCGGGUGUGUAAGCGCAGCGAUGCGUUGAGCUAACCGGUACUAAUGAACCGUGAGGCUUAACCUUACAACGCCGAAG
This 2646-nucleotide ribosomal RNA is filed under the name Klebsiella pneumoniae. RNAcentral describes it as "23S ribosomal RNA". It matches the Rfam family "Bacterial large subunit ribosomal RNA". The record is from RNAcentral. Lineage: Bacteria; Pseudomonadati; Pseudomonadota; Gammaproteobacteria; Enterobacterales; Enterobacteriaceae.